AGAUGGAAAAUAAAGUUGAUGAAUCUUUAAAACCGGGAAACAGCUUACCAGCUUCUGAGUGCUGUAGGUCUUAAAAAACGUUCCAGAAUGUUAGGAAAGACAAUUCAGAACAGUCUGAUGUCUUUAACACCUGAAAGGGAAGGGCAAUUUUCCUCCCUGACUAUACUCCUGCUUUAUAAAUUUGUCAAAAGCAAAAAGAGGAUGCAGGUACUGCUUGGAGCACAAUCGUGAGGUUAAUGUUCUGAUGAGACAAAAUGAUGGAUCAAGGGCGACAAAGUGGCCUUGGAAGAUAGAGAAUUGGAAUCCUAAUAAGAAUGCCAGCUGCUGUAUCAUGAGGACAUUCAAGUAGCACCAUGGAGUACAUGGACAGGAACCAAACUGUUGGCACCAACAUGUUAGCCAAAUGACAAAGCCAUUUUAAAAGGGGAUCUUCCAACUCCUAGCCUUUGAGUCUUUAAGCUAAAGCCUCAAAUAUCAUGUAGCAGAGACAAGCCUUUCCCACUGAGUCCUGUCUGCAUUCCUGACCCACAGAAACCAUGAGAGAUACUAUUAUUAGUGCUUUACGGCAAUACAUUUUGGGGUUAUUUGUUAUGUAGCAAGAGAUAGUAAAAAGUGUCUGGCCCGCAAUAAGUUCCCAAUAAUCCCAUUGAAUUAAAGGAUAAAUGUAAGCAGAUUGCUUUCCCAGGGUACUCAUUUAUUAACCUAAAUGAAACUGUUGAAAAAGCCUUAGCUCUAUAUCCUCUUUGGUUUUGGAGUCUCAGGAUGGGGGCUUGAGUCUUGGAUCUGUGACUUAUUUGCCAUUUGACCUUGAAUAAUUCACUUCCAGUCUUUGGUUCUUGGUUUUCCUAAUCUGUAACCUAGAUAUAACAAUAACAGUUAUAAUUAUGCUACUAACAUAAACCACCAACUUGGAAGAGUCUUGUCGACCAUGCAGACCCCUGGAUCAGGGCUCUCCUAAAACCCAUGCCACAGCUAGAAUUGCCCAUUAUGUGAACAAAUAAACCUUCUUUAUUACCGUUUAAGUCAGUUCCAUUUGUUGGUGUC
Long non-coding RNA from Canis lupus familiaris (dog), 1044 nucleotides. RefSeq lists it as uncharacterized. Lineage: Eukaryota; Metazoa; Chordata; Mammalia; Carnivora; Canidae. The record is from RefSeq and is a predicted model, not a curated record. The transcript is spliced from 3 exons.